Long non-coding RNA from Nicotiana attenuata, 875 nucleotides. RefSeq lists it as uncharacterized. The transcript is spliced from 2 exons. NCBI's taxonomy places the organism in Eukaryota, Viridiplantae, Streptophyta, Magnoliopsida, Solanales, Solanaceae. The record is from RefSeq and is a predicted model, not a curated record.
GAGUCGUUAUGACUUCAUACUUUCAUUUGUACAAAAGAAAUACUCCUCUUUAGGUGAUUUUUUUUUCCUAAUUUAGGACGCGAAAUAAAAAAAAAUUAAGGACGCGAUAUACGAGGAAAGAAAUUAACCUGUGAUAGGCCCACAUGGGGAGAAGUUGAUACGUGCCCGGAAUUAACAUAAGCUAUUAAAUAGGGUUGAUAAAAUGGGAAGCGUCCAAGCCUUAUUCAGACGGAACAGAGUACUUGGGCUGAAAAAACGCCUCCGCUGACGCAAAAAGGGGUAACAGCUACAGGUCGAGAUCCGGCGAGUUUCGUCGGAUUUCGUCCCUAACAAACUGCAUCUCCGGCAUACGUCUGUUUGAUUAUUUCCUUUUUUUUGUUGUUUCCGACGAAGAAAUGAAGGGCUCCUGCACUCUCGUUGCUUCCAUGCUUGCCGCUUCCACCGUGGCUAUUAGCUCCACUUCCUAUUCCUCCUCCUCCUCUGAUCCUGAUGUCAACUGUCACUCGGCUUCUACCGAGGGACUUGGUUAUUCUUCAUCGACGGAGAAGCGCAGAUCUGACAACUCAAGGAAACAGCCAUUGAGAUCAGAGGAGGAGAAAUUCACUCCUAGAUUUGACGGCCUGAGAUUUAUCGAGACUCUAAUUACGGCUCACAGGUGAAAUCUAUGUAAUAGCAGGGUGGCUUAAUAGGAUUUGAGGAACCGAAGUAGCAUUAGCCCCAUUUGUUUAUCGAUUGAAUUGGUCAUGAACAUGCCUUCUUUAAUAUGUCCAAUGUGAUUGAUUGACUUGUUUUAGUGUUCUCUUAACACUUAUUUUGGAAACUGCAUCUCUAAUCAAUCUUUGGAAAUGCUUGGGGGAUCAUCCUUCGUUAUUUUA